Molecule: long non-coding RNA, 869 nt
Organism: Oreochromis aureus
Lineage: Eukaryota; Metazoa; Chordata; Actinopteri; Cichliformes; Cichlidae
Exons: 2
Source: RefSeq, a predicted model, not a curated record
GAAAUGUGAAUGACGGCCAUGAGAAUAAUCUAAAUGUACAUCCACCACAUGGUCAAAUAUUACUGAACUGGUGGUCCAAACCUCCGCAGGAUGCCUUUAAGCAGUCAGGAUCUGUCUGUGGAACAGUUUCAAGGUUCAUUUGUUUGGAUCACCUGGAGAGUUUCCCUCCUGCAGGGUUUUCCUCUCUAUCAGCAGUGCUUCCAUCUGUGCAGCCCGUCCAGUUUUCCCACCAGAGGAGGAGACAUUUCAGGGGUGGUUAAUCAUUUUUGAUCUAUUCACACUGCAGCACAGACUCUACUCUCACCUUUCCAUGUUUUAGACAUGCUGUGCUGGAUUCCCUGCUUCUUUCUGGGCUUUUUAUUUUGGGGCUCAGCUCAUGGGGUUCCCCAGACAAACGCCCGCCCUGACGUCACAGACCAGGAGCUGUUCUGGGGUUCUGACCAGUACGACUUUGCUAUAGUGCUUCCUGCUGCUGGGUUGGAGUGUUUCUGGCACUUUGCUCACCAUGGAGAGAGAUUUUACUUGAACUUCAUGCUCAGCAUUUAACAGCAUCAUCCCCUCAAAACUUGCCUGGGAGCUUGUUGACCUUGGGCUGGGAACAUCUAUCUGCAGAUGGAUUCUCUGCUUCCUCACAAACAGGCCCCAGGUGGUGAGAGUUGGUAAGCACACUUCCUCAUCACUCAUUUUAAACACAGGAACGCCACAGGGAUGUGUGCUUAGCCCCCUCCUAUGUUCCCUGUUCACACACCCCACACUUCACAGGAUGCACACAGAAGCUGUCCUGCAGUUUCUCAAGUAAACUCUGCACCGUGCAUUUCAUUUUUAGUAUUAUAAAAAUGAAAAUAAAAACUCUACUGUACUAACUGCCA